This is a long non-coding RNA of Chelonia mydas (Green sea turtle), 525 nucleotides long. RefSeq lists it as uncharacterized. The record is from RefSeq and is a predicted model, not a curated record. NCBI's taxonomy places the organism in Eukaryota, Metazoa, Chordata, Testudines, Cheloniidae. The transcript is spliced from 3 exons.
UUGAGGAACAGCCCUUCAGCUGUGGCUUGUGAGGUGGUAGGAAGUACAGAGCAGGCAGUCCUAGGAAGAAUGACUUCCAGUGGGGAAUGCACAACUACUGUGUCCUGGUGGGAGGGAACUUAGUUCAAGAAGUCUUGGAAACCAGGACCACACUGAAGCAUUGGGGAACUGCUGUAAAACCAGGCUUCUGCUGGGGUUGAAAACUACUGAAAAGGCAAUGUGUGACUGAAGACUGGCUAGUCUUUUUCUGCUUCUGGUAGAUUUUGUGCUGAAUGAAGAAAAUGGCAUGGACCAAACAGCAAGGAAACCUUUCUGCUUAUGAGCUCCAACUAUCAAACUCACAUUUGUGGCAAAGCUUCAACAGAAGGACAUAAUUGUCUGCACAUGAUGCUUUACAAGAAAGACAAGGCUGUCUGAUAAAAGGAUCCAUAUUAUCAUCUGCCAAUUUACUGCAUUUCUGUUUUUUAUUUGUGUACUCAGAGUUUCAAUAAAUGUGAGACAAAAUGACUUUGGUGACAGAAUGAC